UUGAAAGGGAAACGAUUGAAGUAGUGUACAAGAGAAAUAGUUUUGAAUGUGAUUUGUGGNGUAUGAGAUUNAUUGUUUGAAUAUGUAUGUUUUUUGGUGUAUUUUGUGGGUAGGUUANNNNAUUUUGANNNAUAAAAAGAUUGGAGGAAUGUAGUUGAUUUGUAUUGAAGUGUUAUAGUUUUGGUAAAUGUGAUGAUUAGGAUGAGGAUUGAAGAAUACUUUUGGGUAUUGUUGAGUUGAUAGUGGUUUGGUAUGAAAGUUGUUAUGGUAUUAAGGUAUUAGGUAAAAGGUUAGAAGGAAAAUAGUUAAGGAUGUUGACGUA
RNAcentral lists this ribosomal RNA (322 nucleotides) under uncultured Glomeromycotina. Its description in RNAcentral is "partial large subunit ribosomal RNA". The record is from RNAcentral. Lineage: Eukaryota; Fungi; Glomeromycota.